RNAcentral lists this transfer RNA (77 nucleotides) under Xanthobacteraceae bacterium. Its description in RNAcentral is "tRNA-Gln". It matches the Rfam family "tRNA". Rfam says of the family: Transfer RNA (tRNA) molecules are approximately 80 nucleotides in length. Their secondary structure includes four short double-helical elements and three loops (D, anti-codon, and T loops). Further hydrogen bonds mediate the characteristic L-shaped molecular structure. tRNAs have two regions of fundamental functional importance: the anti-codon, which is responsible for specific mRNA codon recognition, and the 3' end, to which the tRNAs corresponding amino acid is attached (by aminoacyl-tRNA synthetases). tRNAs cope with the degeneracy of the genetic code in two manners: having more than one tRNA (with a specific anti-codon) for a particular amino acid; and 'wobble' base-pairing, i.e. permitting non-standard base-pairing at the 3rd anti-codon position. The record is from RNAcentral. Lineage: Bacteria; Pseudomonadati; Pseudomonadota; Alphaproteobacteria; Hyphomicrobiales; Xanthobacteraceae.
ACCGGGAUCGCCUGGCGGCAAGGGUGCUGCGCUUUGAACGCAGAACAUCGCGGGUUCGCCUCCCUCUCCCGGUGCCA